UGAAAUUUUCUGGUGUUUUCAGUAGUUGCAUUUUGUCAAAGACUUUCCCCACAUCCAUUGAGAUAAUCACAUGGUUUUUUAUUAGUUUGGUUUUUGAUAUAGUCAAUUAUGUGAAUGGUUUUCCUAAUAUUAAAUGAACCUUACAUUCCUAGUAUAAAUCUCAUAUGGUCAUCCUAAAUAAUCCUUGUAAUAAUUUGUUGUAGUCUCUUUGCUAGCAUUUUAUUUAAGAUUUUUGCAUCUAUGUUCAUUAGGGAGAUUCAUUUAUACCUUUCUUUCUCUGUUUUUCGUCUUCCUGGCUUGGAAAUCAGUACUAUAUUGGUGCCAUAAAAAGAAUUUGCUGCAUGGAACACUGAGAAGUUAAAUUUCUGACCUGACCCAGAGCCUCAAAGCCAAUAGGUGUCUGAAGCAGGAUUAUAAACCAUGUCUUCCUAA
Monodelphis domestica (gray short-tailed opossum) is the source of this 432-nucleotide long non-coding RNA. RefSeq lists it as uncharacterized. NCBI's taxonomy places the organism in Eukaryota, Metazoa, Chordata, Mammalia, Didelphimorphia, Didelphidae. The record is from RefSeq and is a predicted model, not a curated record.